GAUGAAUAUGAAUUUGUGAACCCAGAUAUGGACUUUUACUCUUAAGUUUGGAGACAUCGCCAUAUCCACCACUGCAGUUCUUCUUGCAAGUGCAGCCUAUGUUCAAUAGAGAUUGAAUUAUGAGAAGCUUAGCUAGUUUCUCACCAUUGGACAGUGUAGGCUACUUCCUAUGAGUUACAGAAUGUUUCAGAGGUUUCCUUCAAAGUGAUUUGAAGCAGAACUUGCUUCUGGUGGUGGAGAUGUUUUUCAGAUUUAUCCACGGUGCUCCGUGGUGAGGAGGUUGGGAAACGAGAUGUUGCUUGUGAUGUUGAGGAUAUAAUUCACACUUUCUUCCUCAAGCUAACAUGCCAAAG
This 353-nucleotide unclassified non-coding RNA is filed under the name Hevea brasiliensis (rubber tree). The record is from RNAcentral. Lineage: Eukaryota; Viridiplantae; Streptophyta; Magnoliopsida; Malpighiales; Euphorbiaceae.